AGAACUUAGGAUAUACACUAAAUCCGGGGACCUUCAAAGUCUCAAAAAAGAUGGGACUCUUAGUUCUUG
Molecule: transfer RNA, 69 nt
Filed under: Rieppeleon kerstenii
Lineage: Eukaryota; Metazoa; Chordata; Lepidosauria; Squamata; Chamaeleonidae
Description: tRNA-Trp
Source: RNAcentral